UAAAAAAUAAGCACAAUUUGAUACAUAAAAAUAUGAAUUGGCACUAAAUUGAAGUUCUAAAGAGCAAGCCAAUUAGGACUCAUUAGUGAAUUUCAAAAUAGAUUUUCUAAGAGAUACUCAAGAAAAUUCAACACAUUAUUCUCCCCCUUUUUCAUUAAGUUAGAGGCUCUUAAGAUCAACUGUUUGAAUUACAAUUUGGUUCAUGAUUUAUGCAUAAGAUAUAUUAACCAAAUAACAAGCCUCGAGGUGUAUCAUAAAGAUUUUUAGAUUUAAAUUUCAGAUGAUACAUAUUGGAGAGUAUUAGGAUCACUUUUCAUUUAGUAUUCUUUCUCUCUUCUUUAGUUAUAGAUUUAUGCGAUUAAGUUCCAUAAGAUCUCUCCUUCUGAAAUUUUCUUUCUCCCCCUCAAUUGAUCAUUCCAUUUUAGAGUUUAGAAUUUGAAGAUAAUGUUCAAUAAAAUUGUCAAUCUCGAAAAUAUAUUUUCUAUAAGUUUCAGCUUAUUUUCAUAAAACUCAGGGUUUGAGAUAAGACAACCUUUAUAGAACUCAUCUCAAGGUAUAAACUUAUUAUAUAAUUAAAGCAAGUCUUGCAAUAUAAGGAGGUUCAUCAAAAUCAAUUCAUAACGUAUAGAAGAUAUUUAUCAAAUGGACGUGAUAUUUUGCAUUUAGAUUGAAUAUCCAAAGCU
RNAcentral lists this long non-coding RNA (683 nucleotides) under Phoenix dactylifera (date palm). RNAcentral's name for it is "long non-coding RNA (PDAC_LNC011759)". Lineage: Eukaryota; Viridiplantae; Streptophyta; Magnoliopsida; Arecales; Arecaceae. The record is from RNAcentral.